UGGGGAAUUUUGGACAAUGGGCGCAAGCCUGAUCCAGCCAUGCCGCGUGUGUGAAGAAGGUCUUCGGAUUGUAAAGCACUUUAAGUUGGGAGGAAGGGCAGUAACCUAAUACGUUGCUGUCUUGACGUUACCGACAGAAUAAGCACCGGCUAACUCUGUGCCAGCAGCCGCGGUAAUACAGAGGGUGCAAGCGUUAAUCGGAAUUACUGGGCGUAAAGCGCGCGUAGGUGGUUUGUUAAGUUGGAUGUGAAAUCCCCGGGCUCAACCUGGGAACUGCAUUCAAAACUGACAAGCUAGAGUAUGGUAGAGGGUGUGGAAUUUCCUGUGUAGCGGUGAAAUGCGUAGAUAUAGGAAGGAACACCAGUGGCGAAGGCGACCACCUGGACUGAUACUGACACUGAGGUGCGAAAGCGUGGGGAGCAAACAGGAUUAGAUACCCCAGUAGUCCCUGAG
This 453-nucleotide ribosomal RNA is filed under the name uncultured bacterium. RNAcentral's name for it is "bacterial SSU rRNA". It matches the Rfam family "Bacterial small subunit ribosomal RNA", at positions 355 to 801 of the family's 1533-position model. The record is from RNAcentral.